RNAcentral lists this ribosomal RNA (465 nucleotides) under Vreelandella stevensii. RNAcentral's name for it is "partial 16S ribosomal RNA". It matches the Rfam family "Bacterial small subunit ribosomal RNA", at positions 338 to 795 of the family's 1533-position model. The record is from RNAcentral. Lineage: Bacteria; Pseudomonadati; Pseudomonadota; Gammaproteobacteria; Oceanospirillales; Halomonadaceae.
CCUACGGGCGGCAGCAGUGGGGAAUAUUGGACAAUGGGGGCAACCCUGAUCCAGCCAUGCCGCGUGUGUGAAGAAGGCCCUCGGGUUGUAAAGCACUUUCAGUGAGGAAGAACGCCUGGUGGUUAAUACCCAUCAGGAAAGACAUCACUCACAGAAGAAGCACCGGCUAACUCCGUGCCAGCAGCCGCGGUAAUACGGAGGGUGCGAGCGUUAAUCGGAAUUACUGGGCGUAAAGCGCGCGUAGGUGGCUUGAUAAGCCGGUUGUGAAAGCCCCGGGCUCAACCUGGGAACGGCAUCCGGAACUGUCAAGCUAGAGUGCAGGAGAGGAAGGUAGAAUUCCCGGUGUUGCGGUGAAAUGCGUAGAGAUCGGGAGGAAUACCAGUGGCGAAGGCGGCCUUCUGGACUGACACUGACACUGAGGUGCGAAAGCGUGGGUAGCAAACAGGAUUAGAUACCCCUGUAGUC